This 832-nucleotide long non-coding RNA is filed under the name Sus scrofa (pig). Its description in RNAcentral is "lncRNA (ENSSSCG00005042106.1)". Lineage: Eukaryota; Metazoa; Chordata; Mammalia; Artiodactyla; Suidae. The record is from RNAcentral.
CAUCUCCCCAGAGAAGCUUGCGGCCACUCUGGUUGCUAAGAACUUCAGCUCAUCCCAUUUGAGAACAGAGGCUGGGAGAAGGGCAGGAAUUGGGCGUCAAAUAGCAGUUAUGUGAUAUCUGAAUCUGCUUUAUUGAAGAGUUUCACUUUUCUUUCUUUCUUUCUUUCUUUCUUUUUUUUUUUUUUUUUUUUUUUUUUUUUUUUCUUUUUAGGGCCGCAUCCGUGGCAUACAGAAGUUCCCAGGCUAGGGGUUGAAUCGGUUGAGCCCAUCUGCCAUCUCCACCGCAGCCUAAGGCAACACCAGAUCCUCAACCCACCGAGAGAAGCCAGGGAUUGAACCCUCAUCUUCAGGGAUACCAGCCAGGCCACCUGCCCACAACAGAGUAGGCAGAGGGGAGGAGGCUCCUCCAAAUUCUCCAUCCAGAAAAGCAUGCCUCUCCAGAAACCCAUGUCUCUCGGACGCAGGGAGAGUUGACCUGGGAGUCUGUUUCAAGAGUAUUUGGCGCUAUAACUGCAUUUGGUGAACUUCUAUUUGACUGAUUCUCUUACAGAAUGUUUUACUUGGAACGUGUUUCAGAUGUUAGAGGCGCUGGUGCAGAUUCUUCCAGAUAACAGUUGGUCUGAGCCCACCUGCCGAUGGUAUUCGUCUCAUGAAGUCAUCCGCAGCAGGAGAGAACCGAACCAAAAUCAUUUGUGGGACGUGUGGUUCACAGAAUUUUGUGUUCUACUAAGCAUCAUUCUUCACUUAAAAAAAAUUUGUUACUGGGCUGAUGCCAAGCCUUCUGUAGUACUUCCCGGAUACAAAUCAGGUUUUAAUAAAAGCUCCCUGGGAC